AUUUAAGUAACUUAAAAUUAGAGUGUUAUAUUGAAGUUAUAAAAGUAGUAUGGAAAUUGACUCUUAAAUA
RNAcentral lists this transfer RNA (70 nucleotides) under Cheumatopsyche sp. XG-2022. Its description in RNAcentral is "tRNA-Phe". Lineage: Eukaryota; Metazoa; Arthropoda; Insecta; Trichoptera; Hydropsychidae. The record is from RNAcentral.